UGAGGAACAUGACCUUCGGCGGGGGAUAGCCGGCCCAACGGCCGGGUAAUACCGCGUACGACCUUUCGGGGACAUCCCUGGAUGGUGAAAGCAGCAAUGCGCCGAUGGAGUGCCUCGCGGCCUAUCAGCUAGUUGGUGAGGUAACGGCUCACCAAGGCGACGACGGGUAGCUGGUCUGAGAGAAUGGCCAGCCACAUUGGGACUGAGACACGGCCCAGACUCCUACGGGAGCAG
This 234-nucleotide ribosomal RNA is filed under the name uncultured bacterium. Its description in RNAcentral is "partial 16S ribosomal RNA". It matches the Rfam family "Bacterial small subunit ribosomal RNA", at positions 118 to 347 of the family's 1533-position model. The record is from RNAcentral.